RNAcentral lists this long non-coding RNA (3315 nucleotides) under Brachypodium distachyon (stiff brome). Its description in RNAcentral is "long non-coding RNA (BDIS_LNC001538)". Lineage: Eukaryota; Viridiplantae; Streptophyta; Magnoliopsida; Poales; Poaceae. The record is from RNAcentral.
UUUCUCUUACAAGGGCAAGUUUGAAAAGGUAAACACAAUCGGUUGGCCCUGGCUUGACCACAUCAAUCAACCUGACAAAAGUCAAUAAUAGAAGCUAAACAGUAGAGGCAUCAUCAAAGAGUGUGGCUCAUGUCACUGUCCUCCACGGCAUGUCCUUGUCGAUACUGGUACAGCCGGAAGCCAUCAAGGCUCUUCCCAGUCUACAGAUUGGCAGAUGGUCAUCAGCAUUCAGCACCUCUGGAAAAUUCUGCAGCAUUGAACAUUUGAUCAAGUCAAAAAGAAGACAGUGGACGUAUAGAUCAUAUAAGGAAUAGCAGGGCAUUGUUGAAAAGCAAGCACGCAUGACCAAGACUCCAAGAGUAUCCUCUCAAAGAAAAGAAAAUAGACUUAAGAGUAUCCGAAGCAACCAAAACUGGAAUCAGUAUGCUCACAGCAAUGGGGCUGGUGAGCUUGCUAUCAUCACUUGCUGCCAUCCUGAUGAUGGUCGUCGUGAGCGCCGGCGAUGAGGCCGCGUUGCUUGCUUUCAAAGCACAGGCCAGCGGCGGCGCCGGCGGCUCCCGUGCACUGGCCUCCUGGAACGACAGCGCCCACUUCUGCAGCUGGGAGGGCGUCACGUGCAGCCACCGGAGAACAAAGCAGGUGGUGGUGGCGCUGAGCUUGCACCGCGGGGAGCUCACCGGAGCACUGUCCCCAGUUCUUGGGAACCUCACGUUCCUGCGGACGCUCAACCUGAGCUACAACUCGCUCCACGGCGAGAUCCCAGCGAGCCUCGGGCGCCUCCGCCUCCUGAAGAACCUUGAUCUCUCCCAUAACCAGCUCGUGGGCUCGAUCCCACCAGAGCUCGGCAGCAUCCAGAGCAUGCAGAUAUUGCAACUGUCCGCCAACAAGCUCUCUGGUAUGCUUCCACACGCUCUCUACAACUUGUCCUCGCUGGAAAGAUUUCAGGUUGGGGGCAAUAAGCUGAACGGAAGCAUUCCGGUUGAUAUCGGCAACAAGUACCCAGCUUGCAAGUUCUUAAUUUGGGCGCUAAUCAGUUCACAGGAACCAUCCCUUCGUCACUGUCCAAUCUAUCUGAUCUCACGGUACUGGUCCUCGAGCUAAAUAGAUUCAGCGGGUAUGUUCCUCCCACUUUGGGGAGGCUGGGAGCUCUCCAAGACCUGUACUUGACUGUUAGACUUGAAGCGAAUGAAAAAGAGGGAUGGGAGUUCAUCACUUCUUUAGCAAACUGCAGCCAACUGCGGCGCUUGAUACUCAGCAGCAACCCUUUUGGAGGACAACUACCGCGUUCGAUUGUGAAUCUCUCGACAUCACUCCAGAUGUUACGAUUAGAUGACAAUAGGAUCUCUGGGAGUAUCCCUGCAGACAUCGGCAAUCUGGUUGGUCUGAACAUACUACUGAUAGUGAAUACUUCCAUGUCAGGAGUGAUUCCAGAGAGCAUAGGGAAACUGAAAAACUUGGUUGACCUUGGCCUGUAUAGUACUGGCUUGACAGGCAUCAUACCGCAAUCUGUAGGAAAUCUUACAGAGUUAACUAGGUUUCUUGCAUUCUGGAACAACCUGGAAGGAUCAAUACCAGCAAGUCUCGGGAACCUGAAGAAUCUAUUCAUUCUAGAUUUGUCAACAAAUUACCGCCUGAAUGGUUCAAUACCCGUGGAAAUUUUUCAGCUGCCUUCACUCUCAUGGUACUUGGAUUUAUCAUACAAUGCACUUUGUGGACCCCUCCCGUCAGAAGCAGGUACAAUGACUAACCUCAAUGAAUUGAUUCUGUCAGGAAACCAGUUGUCCGGACAAAUACCUAGCACUAUAGGAAAUUGCAUAGUUCUGCAGAAAAUCUUACUGGACAAGAACUCUUUUGAAGGAAGUAUACCCAAAUCUCUGGAAAACAUAAAAGGACUCAAUAUAUUAAAUCUGACCAUGAAUAAUUUGUCUGGAAGGAUCCCUGAUGCCAUCGGUGGCAUUCGAGAUCUACAACAAUUGUAUCUAGCACACAACAACUUGUCAGGUGUAAUCCCUGCAGUUCUACAGAAUUUGACAGCAUUGUCAAAAUUGGAUGUAUCCUUCAAUAACUUGCAAGGUGAGGUGCCAGAUGGAGGUGUUUUCAGAAACAUCACUUACAUAGCAGUUACUGGGAAUAUCAAUCUCUGCAGCGGCACACCUCAACUUCGCUUGGCUCCAUGCUCCACAAGCCCCGUACACAAGAACAAAAAAGGGCUGUCAAAGUCUCUUAUAAUUUCUCUAGCAACAAUUGGAGCAAUCUUUUUGUCACUUUCAGUUAUUCUUGGUGUUUGCGUGCUUCACAAGAAGCUCAAGCGAAACCAGCAGACAGUAAUUGAAUAUUCAAUUGCUGGAGACCACUACGAAAGAAUCCCAUAUGAUGCAUUAUUCAGAGGAACUGACGGGUUUUCAGAAGUUAACUUGAUUGGGAGAGGAAGUUAUGGUGCUGUUUAUAAGUGUGUUUGGACACUGACGAAAGAACCUUGGCUGUCAAGGUGUUUAACCUUGGUCAAUCCAGGUCUUCCAAGAGUUUUGAGGUUGAAUGUGAUGCCAUGAGAAGGAUACCACACCAAUGUCUCAUAAAGAUCAUUACUUGUUGUUCGAGCAUCAACCAUCAAAGUCAAGAGUUCAAGGCAUUGGUUUUUGAGUUCAUGCCCAGUGGUAACUUGGAUGGUUGGCUUCACCCGAAAUCUCAAAAGCUCACUAAAAGCAACACACUCAAUCUUGCGCAGAGGCUUGAUAUUGCAGUCGAUAUUGUGGAUGCAAUAGAAUAUCUUCACAACCACUGCCAACCGUUGAUAAUCCACUGCGAUCUUAAGCCAAGCAACAUUCUUCUCGCUGAGGACAUGAGAGCCCGAGUUGGAGACUUCGGCAUAUCAAGAAUCCUACAAGAAAGUACAUGCAAGAGGAUGCAAAACUCAUAUAGCUCAGUUGGAAUUAGAGGUACCAUAGGCUAUGUUGCUCCAGGUAACUGAAAUUCUUCUAGUUUUGUCAUUUACUAUUCACAUAAACAUGUCAUGCUAAGUUGCUAACUUCAAAGUUAAUGAAUAAUUGUAGAGUAUGGGGAGGGCUAUGCAGUCUCAACUCGUGGUGAUAUUUACAGUCUUGGGAUAUUGCUGCUUGAGAUGUUUACCGGAAGAAGCCCAACAAACGACACGUUCAGGGAUUCAUUGGAUCUCCAUAAGUUUGCAGAGGAUGCUCUUCCAGAUAGAACCUUGGAGAUAGCAGACCCAACAAUCUGGCUCCACAGUGAACCGCUGGAUAGCACUACGAGUACCAGAAUCCAAGAAUGCUUGGUUUCUGUCUUUAGGCUUGGCAUAUC